This is a long non-coding RNA of Hipposideros armiger (great roundleaf bat), 844 nucleotides long. RefSeq lists it as uncharacterized. The record is from RefSeq and is a predicted model, not a curated record. The transcript is spliced from 3 exons. Lineage: Eukaryota; Metazoa; Chordata; Mammalia; Chiroptera; Hipposideridae.
GUUCACCAAGUGGAAAAGCAAUCGCAAACAAAAGGACCUCGCUGUCAUGCCCAGAGGGAUUACUCAGCCACCUGCCCUCCCUGGAGACACACUGCUGAACACCCUUCGUUCCCCAGAGAAAAGCUGGACCAUGGUCUGAUGUGAGGACCAGGAUGCUAAGUAGUGAGAAUCAACUCCUAGAAAUGUCUGAAAGGAUGAACUCCGAGAGCUACCAGCAAGGACUCACAAAAACGCCCCUGUGGAUGCUUGCGGUCUGCCCAUCAAAUACCCACCGGGACACAGCUCUGCCAAUCAAGUGAGGAAGCUCUGCUUACAGCUCUCUGGACCAUCUCAGGGUGCCAGGUGUUAACGGCAGAUCUGCAGAGAAGAGUGCUUCCAGAUGAAGCAAGUCUAAAGCAAAGAGAUGUGGAUCCAUCUUUAGAACUUUCAUCUCUAAUGUGUCUGCAGGAAUUUGCACAAAAAUUUCUUAAUACUAUUAGCGAUUUUCUCCUGAAAGUAAGUUUCCUUUCUAUAAUGUUACUGAUUUCAACGUCUCCCAACUUCACCUCACAGCUCUGCCUUCACCAGCAGCAGGCAUCCCAGGAAUAAAAGACAAAAUGAAUAGUAAACAACAGGAGACCUGAAAUCACAAACAUUGUGAACAAUUACCUGAAAUAUAUUCCUACACAAGGUCAGAGUAUUCCAUGAUUUUAAGGACAUCCUACAGGUACAUGGGGUAUGGACAUGGGCUAGACAGAGAGCCACACUGAAUCUUGAAAAUAAGAGAAGGAGGGAGAACUACUUCUUGAGAGUUGGCGCAGAAAGUAGCAGAAACAAAAUUGUAAACAAAGAUGCGUAAAUCAAC